AUUGAACGCUGGCGGCAGGCCUAACACAUGCAAGUCGAAUGGUAACAGGAAACAGCUUGCUGUUUCGCUGACGAGUGGCGGACGGGUGAGUAAUGUCUGGGAAACUGCCUGAUGGAGGGGGAUAACUACUGGAAACGGUAGCUAAUACCGCAUAACGUCGUAAGACCAAAGAGGGGGACCUUCGGGCCUCUUGCCAUCAGAUGUGCCCAGAUGGGAUUAGCUAGUAGGUGGGGUAACGGCUCACCUAGGCGACGAUCCCUAGCUGGUCUGAGAGGAUGACCAGCCACACUGGAACUGAGACACGGUCCAGACUCCUACGGGAGGCAGCAGUGGGGAAUAUUGCACAAUGGGCGCAAGCCUGAUGCAGCCAUGCCGCGUGUAUGAAGAAGGCCUUCGGGUUGUAAAGUACUUUCAGCGGGGAGGAAGGGAGUAAAGUUAAUACCUUUGCUCAUUGACGUUACCCGCAGAAGAAGCACCGGCUAACUCCGUG
RNAcentral lists this ribosomal RNA (490 nucleotides) under uncultured bacterium. RNAcentral's name for it is "partial 16S ribosomal RNA". It matches the Rfam family "Bacterial small subunit ribosomal RNA", at positions 30 to 507 of the family's 1533-position model. The record is from RNAcentral.